UGAGGCAUGCAAGUCGAACGGAAUAAUGACUUCGGUUGUUAUUUAGUGGCGGAAGGGUUAGUAAUACAUAGAUAAUCUGCCCUCAACUUGGGAAUAACGAUUGGAAACGAUCGCUAAUACCGAAUGUAGUGUAUUUAGGCAUCUAACAUAUAUUAAAGAAGGGGAUCUUCGGACCUUUCGGUUGGGGAAGAGUUUAUGCGAUNAUCAGCUUGUUGGUGGGGUAAAAGCCUACCAAGGCUAUGACGUCUAGGCGGAUUGAGAGAUUGACCGCCAACACUGGGACUGAGACACUGCCCAGACUCCUACGGGAGGCUGCAGUCGAGAAUCUUUCGCAAUGGACGAAAGUCUGACGAAGCGACGCCGCGUGUGUGAUGAAGGCCUUAGGGUUGUAAAGCACUUUCGCCUGGGAAUAAGAGAGAUUGGCUAAUAUCCAAUCGAUUUGAGCGUACCAGGUAAAGAAGCACCGGCUAACUCCGUGCCAGCAGCUGCGGUAAUACGGAGGGUGCUAGCGUUAAUCGGAUUUAUUGGGCGUAAAGGGCGUGUAGGCGGAAAGGAAAGUUAGAUGCUAAAUUCUGGGGCUCCACCCCAAGUCAGCAUUUAAAACUAUCUUUCUAGAGGAUAGAUGGAGAAAAGGGAAUUCCACAUGUAGCGGUGAAAUGCGUAGAUAUGUGGAAGAACACCAGUGGCGAAGGCGCUUUUCUAAUUUAUACCUGACGCUAAGGCGCGAAAGCAAGGGGAGCAAACAGGAUUAGAUACCCUGGUAGUCCUUGCCGUAAACGAUGCAUACUUGAUGUGGAUGGUCUCAACCCCAUCUGUGUCGGAGCUAACGUGUUAAGUAUGCCGCCUGAGGAGUACACUCGCAAGGGUGAAACUCAAAAGAAUUGACGGGGGCCCGCACAAGCAGUGGAGCAUGUGGUUUAAUUCGAUGCAACGCGAAGGACCUUACCUGGACUUGACAUGUAUUUGACAGCUAUAGAAAUAUAGUCUUCCGCAAGGACAGAUACACAGGUGCUGCAUGGCUGUCGUCAGCUCGUGCCGUGAGGUGUUGGGUUAAGUCCCGCAACGAGCGCAACCCUUAUCGUUAGUUGCCAGCACUUAGGGUGGGAACUCUAACGAGACUGCCUGGGUUAACCAGGAGGAAGGCGAGGAUGACGUCAAGUCAGCAUGGCCCUUAUGUCCAGGGCGACACACGUGCUACAAUGGUUAGUACAGAAGGUAGCAAGAUCGUGAGAUGGAGCAAAUCCUAAAAGCUAACCCCAGUUCGGAUUGUAGUCUGCAACUCGACUACAUGAAGUCGGAAUUGCUAGUAAUGGCGUGUCAGCCAUAACGCCGUGAAUACGUUCCCGGGCCUUGUACACACCGCCCGUCACAUCAUGGGAGUUGGUUUUACCUUAAGUCGUUGACUCAACCUAUUUAUAGG
Molecule: ribosomal RNA, 1420 nt
Filed under: uncultured Chlamydia sp.
Lineage: Bacteria; Pseudomonadati; Chlamydiota; Chlamydiia; Chlamydiales; Chlamydiaceae
Description: bacterial SSU rRNA
Rfam family: Bacterial small subunit ribosomal RNA
Source: RNAcentral